This 74-nucleotide transfer RNA is filed under the name Planctomycetota bacterium. RNAcentral's name for it is "Planctomycetes bacterium tRNA-Cys". It matches the Rfam family "tRNA". From Rfam's summary of the family: Transfer RNA (tRNA) molecules are approximately 80 nucleotides in length. Their secondary structure includes four short double-helical elements and three loops (D, anti-codon, and T loops). The record is from RNAcentral. Lineage: Bacteria; Pseudomonadati; Planctomycetota.
GGUGGCGUAGCCAAGUGGUCUAAGGCGCUGGUUUGCAAAACCAGUAUUCAUGGGUUCGAAUCCCAUCGCCACCU